GGACGAACGCUGGCGGCGUGCUUACCACAUGCAAGUCGAACGGUGAAGCGCUUGCCUUUUUGGUGGGUGUGGAUGAGUGGCGAACGGGUGAGUAACACGUGAGUAACCUGCCCUCUUCUUCUGGUUAACCUCAUGAAAGUGGGGCUAAUACGGGGUAUUCCGGGUCUGUCGCAUGGCGGGUUUGGGAAAGAUUGCGCCUUUGGGUGUUUUCGGUGGGGGAUGGGCUCGCGGCCUAUCAGCUUGUUGGUGGGGUGAUGGCCUACCAAGGCGGUGACGGGUAGCCGGCCUGAGAGGGUGGACGGCCACACUGGGACUGAGACACGGCCCAGACUCCUGCGGGAGGCAGCAGUGGGGAAUAUUGCACAAUGGGCGCAAGCCUGAUGCAGCGACGCCGCGUGAGGGAUGGAGGCCUUCGGGUUGUGAACCUCUUUCGCCAGUGAAGCAGGCCUGCUCCUGUGUGGGUGGGUUGACGGUAGCUGGAGAAGAAGCGCCGGCUAACUACGUG
Molecule: ribosomal RNA, 505 nt
Filed under: uncultured bacterium
Lineage: Bacteria
Description: partial 16S ribosomal RNA
Rfam family: Bacterial small subunit ribosomal RNA
Source: RNAcentral